Molecule: non-coding RNA, 72 nt
Organism: Pangasius djambal
Lineage: Eukaryota; Metazoa; Chordata; Actinopteri; Siluriformes; Pangasiidae
Source: the annotation of a GenBank genome assembly
UCCCUGGAGGAUUAGUGGUUAGGCCUCGGCGCUAUCGCCACCAUGGGCCGGGUUCCAUUCCCAGCCAGGGAA